RNAcentral lists this ribosomal RNA (301 nucleotides) under uncultured bacterium. RNAcentral describes it as "partial 16S ribosomal RNA". It matches the Rfam family "Bacterial small subunit ribosomal RNA", at positions 509 to 809 of the family's 1533-position model. The record is from RNAcentral.
CAGCCGCCACGGUAAAACGGAGGGUGCAAGCGUUAUCCGGAUUUAUUGGGUUUAAAGGGUCCGUAGGCGGACUUAUAAGUCAGUGGUGAAAGCCUGUCGCUUAACGAUAGAACUGCCAUUGAUACUGUAAGUCUUAAGUAUAUUUGAGGUAGCUGGAAUAAGUAGUGUAGCGGUGAAAUGCAUAGAUAUUACUUAGAACACCAAUUGCGAAGGCAGGUUACCAAGAUAUAACUGACGCUGAGGGACGAAAGCGUGGGUAGCGAACAGGAUUAGAUACCCCAGUAGUCCCUGUCUCUUAUAA